This is a non-coding RNA of Paramuricea clavata, 344 nucleotides long. NCBI's taxonomy places the organism in Eukaryota, Metazoa, Cnidaria, Anthozoa, Malacalcyonacea, Plexauridae. The record is from the annotation of a GenBank genome assembly.
GGAUAUUUAAAAUGGGAUAUAGACUGGCUAUAAAGUGAUGUUGUUUAUAUAGAGAAUAAUACAUGGGUGCGCCAGAAAUACCAGAUUUAUUUCGAGUGUUGAACAUGAUAUCUCACGAGUGAGCGCAGCGAACAAGUGAGAUAUCAUGUUCAACACAAGAAAUAAAUCUGGUAUUUCCAAGCACCCAUGUAUUUUUCUGUUUAUUAUAUAAAGGACAGUCUUUGAAAAGCGAUAAUUUUUACAGAAAAGCAAGCGAUAAUUGAAAAGUGAUAAUUUUCACAUGUGAGAUUAUCAUGAAUAAUCUCACAUGUGUGAUUAUCACUUUUAUCAGUGCUCGAAAUCUC